AACUUAAAACCAUGGACAGCGUCUUUCCCCUGGGGAAGCUGGUUAACUUCAAGACAGGCUCCCUGGUCCCUGGAGGAGCUGCGUUUCUCUGGAAUGUUCUCAGCCAAUGAGAAGACGGAUGACUCAAUUUCCCAUCCUCAGGCUGUGUGAGUCCCAGGAGGACGGGGCAGAUGUGAAAGGAGGAAGAUGGAAGUCCUCAGGAGAGCUGACCUGGCCUUGAAUGCAAAAACCUGAAUAUUAAAAAUAAAAGAGGAGGUGAUGGACGGGGAAAUAAGAUUGGAGAAUGAAGGAUUUAUGGAGGACUUGA
Molecule: long non-coding RNA, 307 nt
Organism: Jaculus jaculus (lesser Egyptian jerboa)
Lineage: Eukaryota; Metazoa; Chordata; Mammalia; Rodentia; Dipodidae
Exons: 2
Source: RefSeq, a predicted model, not a curated record